UACGAAGGGGGCUAGCGUUGCUCGGAAUUACUGGGCGUAAAGCGCACGUAGGCGGAUUGUUAAGUCGGGGGUGAAAUCCUGGAGCUCAACUCCAGAACUGCCUUCGAUACUGGCGAUCUCGAGUUCGGGAGAGGUGAGUGGAACUGCGAGUGUAGAGGUGAAAUUCGUAGAUAUUCGCAAGAACACCAGUGGCGAAGGCGGCUCACUGGCCCGAUACUGACGCUGAGGUGCGAAAGCGUGGGAGCAAACGGG
This 252-nucleotide ribosomal RNA is filed under the name uncultured bacterium. RNAcentral's name for it is "partial 16S ribosomal RNA". It matches the Rfam family "Bacterial small subunit ribosomal RNA", at positions 524 to 776 of the family's 1533-position model. The record is from RNAcentral.